This 253-nucleotide ribosomal RNA is filed under the name uncultured bacterium. RNAcentral's name for it is "partial 16S ribosomal RNA". It matches the Rfam family "Bacterial small subunit ribosomal RNA", at positions 524 to 776 of the family's 1533-position model. The record is from RNAcentral.
UACGUAGGGCGCAAGCGUUGUCCGGAAUUAUUGGGCGUAAAGAGCUCGUAGGCGGCUUGUCACGUCGGGUGUGAAAUCCCCGGGCUCAACCCGGGAACUGCGUCCGAUACUGGCAGGCUCGAAUCCGGGAGAGGGAUGCGGAAUUCCAGGUGUAGCGGUGAAAUGCGUAGAUAUCUGGAGGAACACCGGUGGCGAAGGCGGCAUCCUGGACCGGCAUUGACGCUGAGGCGCGAAAGCCAGGGGAGCAAACGGG